GUGUGCACAUGGCUCGAAUGCUAGCAGCAAUUGCCGCAUCUCUGAAAAUAAUUCUCUUACUAAAGAGCCAGUUUAGUUUUACAACUCUGCGGUUUCCUUGUGUUACUGUCCAGCCAGCAGUACAUGAGCCAGUGGAGACAUAGGCUAUGGCUAUACUAACGAGCUUACAGCCCUGCUAGAGCGCCGACUUAAUUACUCCAGCCCCCACGAGUGGUGAUAGCUAUGCCAGCGAGAGAAGCUAUCCACACCGGCACUUAGGGUGGUAUAACUUACGUCGCUUGGGGGGUGGCUUAUUCACAUCCCUGAACAACAUAACCUAUACGGACGUCAGCUGUAGUGUAUACGUAGCCUAAGGCAUCCCUGAGGUAACUGUUGAUGUCAAUAGAGUUACUCAAGGGAUGACGUUGGUCCAUGACGCCUCGGGUAAAUGAAUGAUUACGCUGUAUCUUUAACAAGAGAAUUCAGAACUUGGAGGCUCAUAUGACUCAUCAGUGGCCAUCUUGGAGCUCUUCCAGGAACACCAAACAGAAAAGAUGUAACUGGAUCUGCUUCUGUGUACAGACUGCAGGCCCUGGGUCCAUAUAAUGGAAAAGUAGCAUUUGCUAUCUGGGGCAGGAGGAAGCCAAUGAAAGCCACAAAGGAGGAGAUCUGAACGUGGACUGUUGUGAACACCUAACUUACAGUCGCUCCACAUGCACCAACCAUCUUGACUUAGUGGCACUUUGUGAGACAGACACCACCACAAGUACUGACCAGCAGUGAUUAGGAGAGGUACUUCCUGAAGCAACUUGACACUACGAUGACAUGUUGGACUCCUUGCCCCAUCACACUUCCGGGGCCAUCAAUACACAAGUUUCACUUUUCCCAGUACUUGGCCAUCUCUAUUCUUUUAGUUUCAUCUCAUUGAUUACGUUCUGUGACCAGCCUGCACGCAGUCAGAACACAUAGCACAGCAGAGAGAGACUGUGUCUGCCACAGCCUCAGGAACAGCAUGCGUAUCAAGAACAACAUGACUCAUGGCACUAAGGCAAUUGGAGAAAAGACAACGCUUCCACUAAUUAAUACCUGGAAACACGUGCUGGU
Chelonia mydas (Green sea turtle) is the source of this 1083-nucleotide long non-coding RNA. RefSeq lists it as uncharacterized. The record is from RefSeq and is a predicted model, not a curated record. The transcript is spliced from 3 exons. Lineage: Eukaryota; Metazoa; Chordata; Testudines; Cheloniidae.